Molecule: non-coding RNA, 1914 nt
Organism: Corylus avellana
Lineage: Eukaryota; Viridiplantae; Streptophyta; Magnoliopsida; Fagales; Betulaceae
Source: RefSeq, a predicted model, not a curated record
UUUUUUUUUUUGAUAUCGAGGAACCUCUACAAGGCAGGGCCCUUCGGACCCACCCCUGCAGAGUAAACCCCGGCCCCGUGCACCGCACCCUCGGAAGUUUCCCUACACGGAACAGGGUAAGUCACUGGCUAUUCACCAGAGGGGUGUGGCCCCAAGGAGGAGGUAGCACCUGGUGGGUUUCGAACCUGAGACCACUGAGGAGCAAACUCAGAGCCCCAGGCUUUACUCCCUAACCACCAAACUCGUCCACUCAAAGAUCUAGCACGGAACUCGAGUCUAAAGCCAAAAAUUACAGAAGCCUUGUUUAUCUUCAAAAUCUCGUAUGGCUUGGUUCAAUGAUUCCGAUACAGAGAUUCCACUUUUCAUUGUUCACUCUCACAAUGACUUGGUUCAUAAGCCUAAUCCGAGUCUCCAGCAUCAAACCCAGAAACAGAGCGCUGAACCCAUUUUCAGCACAUGAAGGGCCUCCACACCAAGCUCUAUGAAUCGUAUGCAUGUCUCCUCGGAACCACAUGGUGUUCACGCCACUCCUGGCCUCCACCUACGUGGGGACCCUGGAGACUGAAGUUCAGGUCCAUCGCCGAACCAACUAGCUCGCAGGAUCCAACCCACCAUAUGUCUCGCGAACCCAGGCAAACGAGAUAUUAUUUUCCUUUGAUGAUCGCCUCAGGCACUAUGCUACUAAACAGUUGACAAGGGUAAGAGAUGCAUGAUCAAUGGGAAGAGCUUGUUUGUCUCUAUCUUAAAAAUGCCAUCGUGGACUAUGUAUUGCAUAUUCUCAAAUUAAAAGUUUGUCUAAUCUUUGUUGUGGAAGAUUAUGUUUAACUCUUUGGAAGUUCCAAAAUCUCCAGGUGGAAGGUUAGUUACUAGUUCUUUUUGGUUCAUGACAAUGCAUUUCUACAUCAUUCUCAGUCCCAUAUGAGGUCUCUCUAACUCUUGGGACGAUUGGCUGGGAAAUUCUGGAAAUCUUUUUGUAGGUUCUUAGGAAAGACACAGUUUUGCUUUCGUUUUCCCUGACACCAUAUUAUAAUGCCUUCAAGCAUCAAAUCAAAUUGGAUUUCAGUAUUAGUAUUCAGGAUGUGUUUGCCACUGCUGAUUGCGGUGGGUUUCUUGAAAGUACUAGAAAACCAACCCUUCCAGCUUUGGCUCAGUGUUGAUUUCCCAAGAUGCUUGUUCGGCCAGAUGGCAAUCCUAAUAUGAGAUUUCCUAUCAUGAUUGAAAUAGUGAUCUGGAUUUUGAGUGGCCAUGGUAUUUGCAUAACUAAAUAUGCUAUUAUGUUUCUCUUUGGCUGGCAAUUUUGGUAUUGGCUCUUUAAUAUGCCUCCUUUUGAGUUUUCAAGGUUGCAAAGCGGCAGGGGAAAUAUCUAUCACAUCGAUUAGAGCUGGUGGAGGUCAUGCCAAUGGAGCAAAUGACAUGGAACUGGGAGAUCCAUUUCUUUACAAGCAUCUAGGAAGCAUGGCAGCCAUUGGCUCUCGUAGAUCUUAGGUAGAGCAAGGAGUCUAUGCCUACAUUUCUUCUCCCUCCCUGUUCCUGAUUGUUGGAUGACUGGUUUGCGGAGUCUAUAUGCUAGUGCAGUUUGGCAAAUGACUUUGCCGCCAAAUCUCCAUGGUGUGAAUCCUGUCUACGAUGAAUACCCAUGAUUGUUUAUAGAACCAUGCAAGUGAAUUCUUUUCGUUCCACUUCAGAGCUCCAACACCUGAGAUUUUGGGGAGAGCAUUUUCAGAGAGGACAGCCAUUGAUUGGACUGGUGAACCGGCAUUGCAGACUGCAUAACCUUAACUGAUACAUGUUUUUGUAUUAUGUGUUUGGUUUUUCGGUAAACAACAAGUAUGAAUUAAUUAAUUUUGCUAGAGAAAUGAACUACUAGCCUUUAUGGAUGACAAAUUGAAAUAAUUUCCCUAGCAGAAAAUCCAA